RNAcentral lists this ribosomal RNA (543 nucleotides) under uncultured bacterium. RNAcentral describes it as "partial 16S ribosomal RNA". It matches the Rfam family "Bacterial small subunit ribosomal RNA", at positions 357 to 895 of the family's 1533-position model. The record is from RNAcentral.
UGGGAAUUUGGACAAUGGGCGAAGCCUGAUCCAGCAAUGCCGCGUGUGUGAAGAAGGCCUUCGGGUUGUAAAGCACUUUUGUCCGGAAAGAAAUCCUUGGCUCUAAUACAGUCGGGGGAUGACGGUACCGGAAGAAUAAGCACCGGCUAACUACGUGCCAGCAGCCGCGGUAAUACGUAGGGUGCAAGCGUUAAUCGGAAUUACUGGGCGUAAAGCGUGCGCAGGCGGUUUGCUAAGACCGAUGUGAAAUCCCCGGGCUCAACCUGGGAACUGCAUUGGUGACUGGCAGGCUAGAGUAUGGCAGAGGGGGUAGAAUUCCACGUGUAGCAGUGAAAUGCGUAGAGAUGUGGAGGAAUACCGAUGGCGAAGGCAGCCCCCUGGGCCAAUACUGACGCUCAUGCACGAAAGCGUGGGGAGCAAACAGGAUUAGAUACCCUGGUAGUCCACGCCCUAAACGAUGUCAACUAGUUGUUGGUGAUUCAUUUCCUUAGUAACGUAGCUAACGCGUGAAGUUGACCGCCUGGGGAGUACGGUCGCAAGAUU